Long non-coding RNA from Solanum stenotomum, 425 nucleotides. RefSeq lists it as uncharacterized. The record is from RefSeq and is a predicted model, not a curated record. NCBI's taxonomy places the organism in Eukaryota, Viridiplantae, Streptophyta, Magnoliopsida, Solanales, Solanaceae. The transcript has 4 exons.
GAAGAAAUGAGAGGAAGACAAAGUUGAAUGUUCCACAUGUCUGAAACACGCUUUCGCAUUGAUAAAUAAGAUGGAUUCUGUAUUGAUAAACAAGAUGACUUAGUAGGUUUCAGUUCGUGCUGUUGUGAUGAUUGAUCUUGAGUGUGUUCAACCUCCUCGACUUUGGUCAGACAGUGAGGGUACUCAAUUUCGUGGCUAGUGGUUGAGUUUGAGAUUUUUGAGUUUUGUCAGGGUACUCAGCUUCGUGGCUAGUGGUUAAGUUCGAGAUUUCUGAGCUUUGGUGAGUCCUCAUACUUCGAGGAUGGAGUUUAUUGUUUAAUUCCAUUUCUUGUAUUUCUCUUUUGAACAUGAUGUAUGGGCUAGGCCCGAUUUCAUUCUAUUGUAUUAGAUGGCUAUGAUGAGAGAAGUGUAUUAGACUUCCACUU